Non-coding RNA from Drosophila melanogaster (fruit fly), 4809 nucleotides. The record is from Ensembl. Lineage: Eukaryota; Metazoa; Arthropoda; Insecta; Diptera; Drosophilidae.
AAGCUGUCUGGCGCCAGCUGAUCCUAAAUCCUUUGUUUUUAUUCUUGACUCCCAGAUUUUCAAUACAACCGCGGCCGCAGCCCAACAUUUACCCCGCUCUUGGAGCGCAGCACUAUUUUAAUGGAUGGCUCCACAUCGGCUCCCAUUGGAAGCAGCUGGUAGUGGCGUAUCACUUUGGUCACCAUGGUUUUCAUCUCCAGCAGAGCAAACUUUUGACCAAUGCAGUUCCUCGGCCCAGCGGAGAAAGGUAUGUAGCUGUAGGGACUCAGUCUGGGUGCCUCUUCUCCUAGAUGCCUCUCCGGCUGGAAGACCAGUGGAUCGGUGAAGAUCGCUUCAUCCCGGAGGAGCUGCCAGAGAAGUACGACCACGUUGGUUCCCACAGGGAUGUAGCCCUCAUCUGGUGUAGAUUGACGUAGAUUGACUUAGGCAGCGUGCGACGGCCGGAAUAGGCGGAUAAAGACGCAGGGACUCUUUGACCACGCAGCUUAGAUACGGUAACGUCGCGAAAUCCGAGAGAAUAACGCCUCUGAAUAAAUCCUGGCCGUAGUGCAUCCUCAGUUCCUCAAAAAGCUUUUGUUGCACUGCCUCAUGGCGGGAAAGCAGAUACAAACAGAAGGAAACCGCUGAAGUCGUCGUAUCGUGACCCUCAAAGAUGAAAGUGUUCACUUCAUCGCGAAUUUGCUUGUCAGUCAAUGGUUGCCCAUCCACAGUUGCCCGCAGGAGCGUGUCCAGCAGGGCGUGGGGCUUUGUUGGCUUAUCUUGAUUAGCCUCCCUGGCCAGUAAACGGCGUCGCUGCUCUAUAAUUCCGUUGGUAAACUCAUGGAGGCAGAUGACUCCUGCCUGUUGCUUUCUGAAUCCGCUGGGCCAGCACAGGCGAAAGAGGUGGGGAAAGAGGAGAUGCGGCCUCAUGAACCUGGUGGCCAAGAUGUUGGUUAGACUAAAGAAAGAUAAACGCGUGCACCACCUCAGAGUCAGCUCCUUGAGCGUCCACGUUCACGCCCAUAGCAGUUUCGGUGAUUAUGUCUAGGGCAGCCAAGCCCACCAAGGGAUAGAUGUUCACGACCUCGUUGCCGUACGACAGCGUUCUCAAACGCUCCACUAAUAUGCUGCUCUGCCUAUCGAAGACCUCGACAAACUGCUCCAGGAUGCUAAAGUGAAACGUGGGCGUGAUGAUUUUGCGCAUCGUGUGCCACUCCUUUCCACGACUCAGCAGCAGUCCAUCGCCCAGCCAACCGCGUAAGGCAAAGUACAUCGUGCCCUUCUUCAACUGAUGCUGACCCUGCAGCAGUGCAUCGAUAUGUCGGGGCUCCGCUGUAACCAUAACCACAUGGCCUAAGACAGUGCCCAUGAAACUGCGACCAAAACGCUUAACAUACUCGGCGAACUUAUCAUGCAAGUCUGGAAUUUAAUAGAGUAAAUAUCAAAUAUUGAAGAGUUCAAACGGGAACUUACUGUCUGGCUGAAAACUCCGCAUCUGCCAGGCGGCUCCUAGUAGAGGAACUCUCGAAACACUUGGCACAACGCCUUGCAAAGGAUGUCGAAGCUCCUUUAGCGCCAAACGGAACAGCGAGGCCACUAGGCGAGUCACCAGGAGGGCCACCAACAAAACCACCAACAUGUUGAAGCUUUGCUGCGUAUCUUAAGGAGCACUUGGGCUCUCGAGUAGCUGGCAAUCUUAUCUGGAGCACUACAAAUGUGUCGCCUAUCUAUAUACAGGCACUUCGGAUUUAUUGCUCGUAGCUAAACUUUAUAUAAGCAAAACCUUUCGAAUAGUGCACCACUUCGAAAGAGAAACAGUGCGGGACCACUAAGGUGAGCAGGACGGAAAAUCCGAGGAAAACAACUAGCCAGCUGUUUUUCAGCAAGAACAGCUGAUGGAAUCAACCAAAACACAAAACAUAUGUACCUAUGGUCAUUCAUAUGCACAUAGCUGGAUAGACCCACAAGAAUGAAUUCCUUAGGCGCGCGGUUUCAGGCCAAGAUGAACGCCGUUGGCCGACCGCAGGACGAUGUUCAUCGAGUGGCGGGGCUCAGGACCCAAGGGCAGCAGCUCGAAGUGCCGGAGCAGCUUGCUGACGGUGCUCUUCAUUUCCAGCAUGGCAAACUUCUGGCCGAUACAGUUUCUUGGUCCAGCGGAGAAAGGAAUGUACGCAUACGGAUGAAUCUGCGGGACAUCCGCAUCGAAUCUUUCAGGUCGGAACUCAUCGGGAGACUCGAAGUACUCAGGAUCACGAAGAAGAACAAAGAUGCCCAUCGUAAAGUUGGUGCCUGCUGGAAUAUGCUUGCCACCUGACAAGAGCAAUAUGUUUACCUGAGAUUGAAGAAUCUCAUAUGGAACUUCUUACGUAUUUCCACAUCCUCGGCGAACCAGCGACCGAUCAUGGGCACUGGCGGGUGCAGGCGCAGCGACUCCUUAAUUACGUUCUCCAUAAACUUCAGCUCACCAAGAUCACGAAGGGUAACUGGGCUCUUUCGAUCCUCGCCGAGGACGUCGCGGAUCUCCUGCUGCAGACGCUGUUGGACCUCCGGAUGCCUUGAGAUUUCAUAUAAACAGAAUGAAAUCGCCGAGGUAGUCGUGUCAUGGCCCUCGAACAUAAACGUGUCAACCUCUUCGCGGAUAUCCUCAUCGCUCAACGGGGCGCCAUCGAUUGUGGACUGCAGCAGCACAUCCAGCAGAGCCAUCCGUCGCUUUUGGCCCAAGAAAUUAACUUCCUCUUCUGGGGUUGUUUCCUUCGAGUUGUUAACCAGCGUUUCACGCCGCUCACGGAUAAUGUUCUCGGUAAAGUCGUGCAUUACCUUGAUAGCUUUGUCCUGGCGUUUAGCUUCUGUUGGCUGCGUUAGCCGGAAAAUCCAGUCCACCCGCUGCCAAGCGUGGAUAAAACGUUUAAUCAAGAUGUUGGUGACACUGUCACAAGGAAGAAUUCAUCAGAACUGUGGGGAUUCGACCUAUCAUUACACUCACUCAUUGACAGCCUGGACAUAGGGCAGAUUGGGAUUUUUUUGGGCAUUGAUUUUUGUGCCCAUUGCAGUUUCUAAACGGCGAGUAUUAAGCUGUUAUAAAUAUUUAUAAGACUAAUGGCAAACUCACCUGCGAUUAUAUCCAGGGCAGUGAGACAAAUCACCGGAAAGAUGUUAAUGGGAGUCAUGCCGUCGGCGCGCGACUGAAGCUGCUCCACCAUUACGGCGCUUUGUUGGUCGAAUAUCUCGACGAACUGUUCCAAAAUCUUGAAGUGGAAGGUGGGCGUGAUGAUCUUUCUGCGUCCAUGCCACUUCCUGCCCGUGCUCAUCAGCAAUCCAUCGCCCAGCCAGCAGUUAAGUAGCUUGUACAGAUUAUUCUUGGUUAUAUGCUGCUGGCUGCUCAAGACGAACUCAAUGUCUCGGGGAUCCGUGGAGAAGACGGCCAACUGGUGGAGAAUCCACACCCUGUAAAGGCGACCGUACUUGCGCUGGUUCUUCUUGACAAAGUCCAUUAUUUCUGCAGAUUAUUAUUGGGAAUGAUUAUGGAUUGCAAUAGAUUUGGCCAGAUAACAAACUGUAUCGAUGGGCUGGAACUCAAACUCACGUUCAGGAUCUAGACCGCGAUACAUGAGCAGGUUGCCCAGGAAGGGAAGUGGCCGCGGACCCGGCAAUAUACCAUUGCCCCGCCUGCGCCAGAGGAAAUCCCACAGCAGCAGUGUGGCGAACGCCACCAGGAGGAGCACCCCAACAACACCCAGCAUUGUGCGUCGAACGAGAAACGCCGUUCUACUGAACGAUACUAUAAAUAAUAUAAGCUUCGUAAUCUGAAUACUAAUACGCUAGCUGAAAGCUGAAAGCUGUAAGAGAGUCUGCUGUCUAAGAGAACUAAACCGCCUCAGGUAAUCUGCAUUCUGCAGCGGGCAGCUGGAGGUAAGAAAAUCGGACGAACCAUUUACGAAUGGAGUUUAUAGCCUUGUCACGAUGACGCACAAUCAUUUUGUUGAGAGGUAAUGCUUAGUUGGGUAAUUUAAGCUAAUGCCUAACCAUCGUGGGUGGUAUAACGAAUUGGAGCUAGCCCGUUUUCAUUAUAUGGUAAAUUGGGAACUUGUAAACAAGUUCUAUCAGAACAUUUGAAAGGGGUAUUUAAGUGAUAUACCCUGCUAUUUCCAAUUUAUCAUCAUGAAUUGUACAUAUGCCCGUUUAUUUACUGAAUAACAGUAGCUAAAUCCAUAUCCUCUUAUCACUAAGCGAACAGUGUCAAAGGUGAAGGUGAAGGUGAACUAGCCUAUCGAAGAUAUCGUAAAUUUGUGAUUCACGUUCCCAGAUUCAUUGCCCCCACUUAUAUACUAUUAAAAAGAGUGCAAGUUUAAGAAUUUGCUUAGUAAUGAUUACCAGGCAGUUGAGAGCCCUUAUCAAUUUCACUCGUCAUGCUUACCCUUAGAUUGGAGGUAAACAUUGGAUCUCAUACUGCAGUGGACAAGCCAUAAAGAUAUCAACUCAAAAUAUCUGUUAACAAUUUGAAUAAAUAGUUAGUUGAAGUCAUCAAUGAAACCAUCGAUUUGAUAUAAUAACUCAGAUAUUAUGUGUACAAGUUUAAUAUCAAUCACAUUUGUACCCGCUUGUCGGUUCGAGAGGUACACUAUAUAGAUUUUUCUAGUUUGACCUGUUAUGGAUGGAACAGCUUCCCAGCGAUGCUCUGAGUUUUCCAUCUAACUUUGUAGAUUUAAGAGAGCUGGGAUCAACGGCAGUUUAAUGCUGUGCAUAUUGUGCUGCAUAGUUUUCAGCUUGUAAGUAGAAUCGAAUUUAGAAGAUCAAUUUGAAAUCAAUAAUAAUAAACAAUUAUCUCAGCAU